ACGGAGGAUGCGAGCGUUAUCCGGAAUUACUGGGCGUAAAGGGUGCGUAGGCGGGGCUUUAAGUCGGAGGUGAAAUGCAACGGCUUAACCGUAGCAAAGCCUUUGAGACUGGGAGUCUAGAAUAUGGUAGAGGGAGAUGGAAUUUCUGGUGUAGCGGUGAAAUGCGUAGAUAUCACGAGGAACACCGAUGGCGAAGGCAGUCCCCUGGUCCAGUAUUGACGCUGAGGCACGAAAGCGUGGGGAGCAAACAG
RNAcentral lists this ribosomal RNA (251 nucleotides) under uncultured prokaryote. RNAcentral describes it as "partial 16S rRNA". It matches the Rfam family "Bacterial small subunit ribosomal RNA", at positions 525 to 775 of the family's 1533-position model. The record is from RNAcentral.